RNAcentral lists this long non-coding RNA (7596 nucleotides) under Musa acuminata (dwarf banana). Its description in RNAcentral is "long non-coding RNA (MACU_LNC007825)". The record is from RNAcentral. Lineage: Eukaryota; Viridiplantae; Streptophyta; Magnoliopsida; Zingiberales; Musaceae.
UUGUCUAGUAGUAGGGGGUGCUAGUUCUCGAGUUACUGAAGCUUACUACGGAGUUCCUUUCCUGUCUGAACGUUAGGAGUUCUUCUCAGAGAAUCUCUCCCGCAACAAACAAAAAGAAGCUGCACCAUGUUAGAUAAGAGACGAAAAUCAAAGAAUAUCAGCAGCCUAACCAUAGACUAAAGUACUCUAAACCGCGCCCUACCCAAUGGAAUGAAAUUGAAAAGAAGAUAUCUCGCGCAAAGUUCGAAAAUAAUCUCUAUCACAACACAACUAAGAUAAUGAAGUAGUAAACAACACUGCAUAGCUCUUUUGCUUAAAAACUCACUCCUGACUCUUUGAUUUAAGAACUUAGAUAGAAGCAGUAAACUUGAAGGAAGGACUUUGCUAGGCACCUUGAAACAACAAACUGCCUUAUCGCCUAGCUUUUGAUUGUGGACUUGCCCGAAACUUAUUCAUUUUGUACACCUAGCAAGGACGACGGUUACUACCCCUCCUUACGUAGGCAAUGAGAACGAAACGGAUUUCGCACCCCGAGUUGCUUUAAGAGGAGAAGUCACAUAUGCUAUAGGAAGAGGAGAAGUCACAUAUGCUCUUCUAUAGGGGCACUAGAGACUUAGUUAACUCAAACAUUGCAUAGGAGCACCCCUACGAAAUAAGUAUGAUAAUGUGAUGAUAGAUCGUGACCUGCCCCUAGAUUCUUAUUCCUCUGUGAAAAAGAAAGGUGCUGAAAGCCUGUUAGGUGUAAGGAAAGGAGACUAUAUUGCAAGGAAAGUGGAUAGAGAAACAAGGAAAGGAACCGUAAACUAGUAAACAUAGGACUUGGUCAUAACUACAACAAACAUGUUCAUGGAGUUCCUGACUCUCUAUGCCUUCGGGUGCUCGGAAAGGCACGUAAGAGAAGAAGAGUGAUGUUUACUGAACGCCAGGUAAGAGAAGAAGAGUGAUGUUUACUGAACGCCAGAACAAGAGCUAUAAAGUUCAAUGAAAGGGUACCCACUUUUUGAGACAGCUUUGUGCUCUAAUGACUUCUUAGAAACAACCCCUCAAAAUAGAAGAAAACGACUCUUAUGAAAUAGAAAGAAACAUAUGGAUAAAUAUAAGUAAAUAAACUAAGUAGCAUCACGCAAAGAAUAAGAGCAAGGAUCCAUUAUUGUUAGAAGUAGUUCGAGCCUUGUUUUCAGUAAUUCCAUUCAAAUAAGUAGUUAAAAACAAGCAGGUAGGGAGAUAUGGGCUGAUCUCUCUUAUAAUUACAGAAUUGAGGGCGGGAUGAUAAGAAUUUGAUAAGUGACUACUUGGCGUUAAGGCGGGAAAGGAAUACGCGAUGGGGCGGCCCCGGACGACAAGUGAGAUUUACUACCAGGGGCAGGGGAGUUGGGCUUGGCCCGUUGCUUGUCGAGUUGUUCUCUGAUUUGACUCAUAUUCUAAUUAUAUGCGCUACAGCGUACCCAUAUUAUUGAUAUUCCUAUUAGUAGAUUAGGACAGGAUCGAACAAGAGCGAACUAGCAUUUCUUUUUGUAUAAUAAGCUUGCCCGACCCUAAAUCCCGACCUUCCUCUUUAAGCUAACCAACCUAUUCUCUCGGGGUCCCGAUCCACCUCUGAAUUAUGUCUUAAAUAAAUAAAGAUGAUGUCUUCUUUUUGGGAGCUUAAACAGUGUUCGCCCUAAUGGAUUAGUUUGUUCCCUUGCUUUAUACUGCACUUAUUCACUUACCGCUUCAGCUUGUCUGAUUCCGCCCCUCAUGAACCCAGCUUUCCAGUCAGUCCAUUCUCGUUUGCCAAUCGUUUGAGUUUAGUAUCUAUGUUUGUAAUAUUACCAAAUACAUUCUAUUCUCUACCUUAUAGCAGCUGACACUGAUGAACUUGGCGCUCGUAAUUGCUUACUUUUUCACAGCUUCCAUACUUAUGCUUUUCAAGAAAGGAGAAAGCUCGAACUCUAUUAAGCGUGACGAUAAUUCGAAACUCGCAUGAAUGGUAAGGAUCUUGUGUGCAGAAGCCAGACAAAUAGCUUCAUUGCUCAAGUGGAGAUGUCAAAUAUAUAGAAGUCUCCUAAUCUCAAGGUAUGUUGGGAGUUUUGUUGUGAUUGAAGGUCGGAUACAGAUCCUAUUCCAAAGCCCAAACAGUGGGCCAUAGCAAUCGCCGUGAACUGGGAAGAGCCGCCGAAAACAGCCAUCACGAGAACUAUCAAGGGCUUUGAUAAGAAAGAGUUGUUGAAUAUGUCCCGCUUAGUUAACACAAAGUUCGUUCUGAUGAGUAAUAGGGGAAAGAAUCCAACUUAUUUACCGAUAACUGAAGUGAACCAACCCAGACAUAGAAUAUUCCUUGACCAAUGGAAGAAGGCCCCAAUGGAGGAUGGUUUGAAGCGAAGAGACAGAUAGCGCAUUAUUUAGUUGGUACAGCAAAAGGAUGUCAUCGAAAAUCCGAUUCAUUCCAGUAUCCUUCCUUCAACGUGUCAUUGGCUCAAGAGACGCUCCCAUCAAAGUGGACUCAAAAUCUCAUUUGUCAAGCCUUGGUUUUUUCAUUGUCUUUCAUACUGAUCUUAAUAUUGAAUAAUUCCAUGCUUAGUUGUGUUUGGAAGGGGAAUUGUCCACAUGACUAAUCUGAGCUCUCAUCGUUUGCUCUCUUCUACUCAAUGGACUUACCCGAACGGAUUGAAGAAGGAUUCCAUAUUAUUUCUCUAUCUCUGGGCUUGGACUCGAGCCCUCUCUCUGAAACAAGUCUUUCUUUAUGAAUGAAUCCGCGAGGUAGCUCUAUCAGAACUGACUUGGCAUUUGAGCGACAGAAUCACGAGAUGCUCAAUUGGGUUUUGAGAUUCAAAGGAGUAAUCCGUUUUCUAUGAACCGCUCCUACAUCUAAAGCUGUUCCGUUGCGCAUCCGCUGCUCUUAGGAAUAAUUAAUAUACUGCCCCGAUACUAGCUUGACUUCCGUAUCUGUCUCUGGCUAUUACAUGUGUUUUUCUCUAGUUUGAGUAUAGUUAAAGCCGAUAUUCUCACUAAAUAAAUACUAAGUAGGGCAGAGGUAAAUAAUAGAGUGAAUCAAAGUUGUAUAACCGUUUUUAUGGAGGCUAGAGUGUCCAAAGUUGACCAUUUCACGGACUCGACUGAUCUGACACUCUAUCUUUCAUAGGACUAUAGAUCAGAGCCCCUCUGCUCUUCGCGAUGGACGCAAGGUCGGAUUGAUUGGCUAGAAGAUAUACAUGUAAUCUAAGAAGACUUACAAAGCUUCAAUUUCCACGCAAGGAGAGGACAGUGCUCCAAAAUGAUAUGUUGUUGUUCGAUAUCAAGGAAAAGCGAUUCCGGGGGGGCCUCCAUUGGAUGAUGAAGAAAAGGUCAAUAUCUCUGGCUUUUCUAUUUGAGUCUAAAUCGUAGAGGAUCCCAAGACUUUGAAAUAAGAAAUAGAUUCCAUAACUAAGCGGAUCAAAGAGAAACAGUCAGGUAAGGGUCAUUGCUGUGUUCCUGCUAUAAUUUGAUCAAAGGAAUGAAAGAAAAGCGUGCUCGCUCUUUAAGUUUCGAGAAGUAAGAUCCUAAUAAUAGAACAGAAAACCAGAGAUAGAAAACCAAAGGUAAUAAGUUCCUAGUGGACAAAGAGAUUAGUUUGAUUAUUGGGUGACUGAUUUGGUGAGCCAGUUAUCACAGUGCAGACAGUGACGGGAUUGCUUUCACUCCGGAUUUUCUCAAAGAAGCAAUUAUAUGAAUUCCUGCAGUCCAAAGAAAGAAAAAGUUAUUCCUCGUAAAGAAUUAUGAUAAGAAUCCCCCCGAACUUAAUCUUAGCACAAGAAACUGCGUACUGAAGGAAUAUGGAGUUUGACACGGUCCGCUCAUUUCUAUAAAAUAAACGAGAUGGGAGUCGCCUAUCCAUUCAAAUCCUUUUCUGACGCUUGAUCGAGUAAAGCAAAAGCCCCGAGCGGUGGGGAGACGACAUGAAGCUUCCUCUUCCACUUGGUCCGAAGCGAAGACCUAUCGAUAUCUCGUCGAUGACUUUUCCCUUAUUUCAUGGGCUGCAGAAUGCUUGGAAUGUUUUUAGGGGGCUUAUCUUUACCUAUAGUUUGAGGGAAUAAUGGAUCUUAACAUUGUUGGAGGGAAUGGAGUGAGCCGAACGGAAUGACCGAGUCAGUAAAAGCGGUUUGUGAAAUAAUCCCCUUUUUUCUUGGCUCUAUAGGGACUCUCCAAAGCACUCUUUCUUAGCUCUAUAGGGACUCUCCAGAGCACUCCUAAUUCCAGUCUCGUGGUAUAUAUCCGAAAGCAAAAGCAUAAGAAAGCGGGGCGGGCAGUACUUCUAUGAAAACAAAGGAAAGCCUGGGGCUACUUCAUAUCUCGUACCAAGGAGAGUGGGAAAGCGCUUCUUUGAAUUGCUGUAGGCAUUGAGAACAAGAAUUCAGGAAGCAAUCAGUCCUCCACUGCCUGCGACUGGUAAGAAAACCCCUUCAUUCUUUUCUUUCCUGCAUAGUUGCCUCUUUCUUUCUUUCUGUUCUGUACAAAUAUUGUUCUAAUUGAAAGACGCGAAGUUUACUGUUCUCUAACAAGACAUUGGUUAUCCUCAGCCCCACUCGGAGAAGCUUGUAUUUCUGUCUAUAUUCUCAUUUCCAGAACUAAAGAAGAAGACAACUCUCGGGCUUAUUAAAUGACUUUCUUAUUGCUUUAAUCUCUCGAACUCUUUAUUCUCCCUUUAUAUGACAUAUGACUUUUAGAGUGAAUUCCACAUCAGUGAGCGGAUACCAUCCUUUCUGACUAAGGCCUCCAGACAACAUACAAAGUUAGGACAUGAAAGGGUCCACGAAACUGCCCUAUUUCGACACCACGAAUAGGCAGUGAAGGGCCAUAAGAGAUCGUAUAGAUUUGCUUGCUCCACUUUCCGCUACUAGAUUGGGUGCCUUUCCUACAAUAGGGUUCGGGUAAUAUUAGUUCGUUUUACUGUGCUUAUAUCUAAAGGGUUCGGGUAAUAUUAGUUCGUUUUACUGUGCUUAUCUAUAACUCUCUAUUUGGCUACCUGUAAGUAUCACUUAACUGCAGUCUUUCUAAUUCAUUCAGCGGACUAUACUAAGAAUCCAAAGGGGCCCCCCUAGAAUCAUAUUAGGAAAGGAGCACUACGCAACACAUCAAUGAACGAGCCCGUGAUUUUCUCAUGUCCUAACUUCAACUAGUAAGCCGGAUCGAUCAGCUCGCUUUCAAUACAAGAGUCAGUUCUCUCCUUUCUUUAUUCCUGUCUAACCUAUCUUCAGUGAGAGCCGCGCCAAUGCAUAUGCUUUCCAAGUGAGAGUUGGAGCUGAGGGCGUUAGUGAGCGGGCAGCCCGUUCAAAGCCGAUACUUUCUGCUUUUCUUCCUCCCAGCGGUGUCCUCUCCUUUCAACAAAGUGCGAUGCUGGAGCCUAUUUAUGGAAAAGCUAACGUGGUCCCCUCCCACUGAGAUUCGAUUCCCUGUCAAUAAUCCAGUUUUGGCAGUUCUAUUAAGAGCUGAUGGAAACUGUGCAAGAGGAGAAAGGAAGUAAGCCUGCAGCCUGGUAAAGACAAGAUUGCUUGGAUUUGAGUGUGACUCCCUUUUUGACUAUCUGCACAAUCACAGACGCGUCACUUGCCUUAAACCACCUUCGGGCUGAUCAGAUUCAAGCACCAUAUCUUAUAGAAUUCCAUAAUGCUUAUAUAAUUCCGGAACUCUCUUCUUUAAGAAAAGACUCGCUCUGACGCUGGCUUUGGUAUGAAAAACACUUCUUCGUUUUCUUUUGUUUUGUAUGAUUGGAUUUGCUUAGUAACAGCAUCAAUAGUGGAGCUGUGAAAAGAGACUUGAUUCCUUUCCGGAGUCCAGGAUAUAGAGAAUCCAAUCUAGAAAGAGUUGCCGAAACCGGUGCUACACCAAAGCUACAAUUUGAAUGAAGCGAGGCCAAGCAACGACUAGUAUAAUGAGUUUCAUACCGACCCGAGUGGAAUCUGUUCUCUUAUAUAAGGUAGAAUUCCUGUUGUCAUGUUUUUCAAUGUACUUCCGUACUUAUAGCUUCCUAGCCCGCCUGUCGAACAUCUGCUUGUACUAGUCCUAUAUUAUCGAUUGACUCAUGCCCUAUAUUCUCUAUUUAUUCUUUGCUUAACACAAGCACCCGAGCCUAACUCGUAUACAAGGGGAAAGCCCGAAACUUCUUAUAUAGGCCUCUACUGUUACUACGCCGUUCCAUUCUGAGUCUACUUACCUAGAUGCGGGGGCCAAGCUUAUACAUUGAGUGGAGACUACUGGUUUUCUGACUUAAAUAAGUUUGCUUACCUAGUGCUCCGGCUCGCUAACGAGUGACGAACCCUGCUGGCUAGCUCUGCUGGCUACUUACUAUAUUACUAAUUAUGAUCAGAGGAUUCCGUUUCUUCUCCAACUAAUUAUGAUCAGAGGAUUCCGUUUCUUCUCCAAGUCCUGUGCCCUUAAGUCAUUUUGUGUACGAGCUUAACUACCAAAUUUACAUUACCCUCAUUGCUUUUGACACUACCCUCAUAGCUUCACACUAGUGGUGACUUGUUGGGUUUACAGCACAAUCCGUUUCAUCUUAUACAGAAUCCGUGGGUUCAAGUGAGGAAGCCGAGGUAGGUUUUUGUUGACGCAAGUUCCACUUUAAGGAUAGUUCGGUACAGUACAGUGUUGAGCCGAGCAGUAGGGCAAUCCUCAUGCCAAAGAUCUUUUUCUUCCAUUUUCUCUUCUGCUCUGCGUGAAAAUCUUCUCAGAUCUUAUCUUCUGCGCUCGAUAAGCAAAGAAAUGAAUAUGAAUGUUUUCCCUCUUCGGAGCUAGACUCAGUGCUAAAGGGAGUUGGGGCAAUUCCUAAGAAAGAUAUAUGCGCAAAAGAGAGAGACUCAAUUACUGUUAACUCGGUGCUCGACUAAGCACAACAGUGUCAGUGAAUUCUUUGACUUCCGCUUAUGUAAGUUGACAAUUCCAAUCUUAUAUGCGGCGCUCUAAGGGGGAGUAUUUGCAAGAGGGCGAGAAGCAGAGGUCGGGCAAGUCACUCUUAGAAACCGCCGCAACAAGGCCUUAGCAACCCGGUCAACUCUCUUCUUAUCAAGCAGAGGCAGUGGAGGCAGUAUACAGUAAGGAAGCAGCAAGUAGUUCCUAAACUUGAGUGAGAAAGCAAGCAACAAUCGAUUCCUUAAGUCGAGGCACUAUCUAAUUUCUCGCUAACAAGAAUACUCUACUGAUUGACUUAUCGCUCGUACGAGUAUGGGCGGGCCCUGUUCUUCACACUUCUUAUACUUCAAAGAAAGCCACUUAAGGAUAACGUUUCGAAAGAAAAGAGACCGGGCAACUAAACGACAAGCAGGGGCAAGGGCCAGGGAAGAAAGAUAACAUCUAUUUGAAUUGAAUGAAAACAGACUGAUGAAACUAGUAGAGGCGAGGUAUCUUCCGCAGUGGGGUAUUUCGGAAACAACUAUCAAUCAGGUCUUACAGCUACCCGGCACCCGAAACAAGACUAGAAACUAAACAAGUCACUACUUUACCUAAACUCAGAUAAGGCAGCUAAGCUAGGAAGGAGAAAGUUAGUCAAGUCUCUUUCCAUACUCUUUUUGUAUAGUAGUUACUUGUUGAGUCCACAAACACUUAAUUGAAUCUCACUGAUGCUGAUGUUCUAUAAUCCAAAAA